RNAcentral lists this long non-coding RNA (619 nucleotides) under Olea europaea subsp. europaea. Lineage: Eukaryota; Viridiplantae; Streptophyta; Magnoliopsida; Lamiales; Oleaceae. The record is from RNAcentral.
CAAAAACACAGAAGGGAGAAAAAUACAGAGGCAGUGCGGCGCCAGCUAGAGGAAAAUAUUAAACGGCAGAUGAAGAGGUGAAAUUGAUAAAAUCGGCCAGCUGCUGGGAAAAAUUGGGGGCUGCAAUCCAUAUAUUUAUAUAUACCAAUAGAAAAACGGAAGAAAAAGGGAAGUCAGCCGAAAGCAUAAGGGAAGAUAUUAACGGCAGAUUGGGUGGCGGAAUUAAAAGAAAAAGUCGACCAGCUUUGGGAGUGAUAUUGGGCGGUUGUUUCUGGGGGUUGAAUUGAGUAUAAUAUAUGCACAGAAAUGCGGAAUCAAGGAGAGAAAAUGGCUGGAAUUGAGCUGCUGAAUUGGUGGGCUGCUUUGUUGAAUUAAAAGGGUGCUGAAGAGAAUAAUAUAUCAUAUAUGCACGGCCAGAAAGACAGCAGUUUGGAGACAGAAUUGGGCUGAAAUUUUGAUACGUAUAUUAAUCACGUUUCAUCGAUUUUUGGUGACAUCUUUUACCCUUUCUUUGUUUAAUUUCAAUAUUAUGCUCGGCUAAAUUAUUUUGUGCUAGGAUUUGUGAUGAACCUUAUAUUAUGGACCUUUAAUCUUGAAUUUUAUUUAUUUUGACAUUAAA